CAGCAUAUUAUAUAUAUAUAUAUAUAUAUAUAUAUGGUGGCAGAGCAGAACGGGACAGCUGCUUAUUCUCUAGCCAUGCAUGCAUGGUUUUCUAUUAGGCUAAUGCUGGGGUGGUUGUUGGAGUCUGUAUGACAUGAUGAGAGAGGGUUUCGAUGGGGAAGACGAGAGGAGUACUUCCAUGGCGGUCACAUCCUGGCUGAAUGAAUCCAAUUUAAUGGAAAUUUCAGAAGGAAAACAACCCAUCUCUAUCUUCUUCUCUUCCUCCUUCUGCUCCUUCUGAAUACGGUUUGGAGCUCGCAAAUCGAUGGUGAACUCGUCUUAUAAAUGUUCUUCUCCGGUGUGCAGCUUUUGGGACUUCAGAAGCAGAAGAACAAAGCUGCUUUUCCUCUGCAGGUCUACCAUCAGAACAAUGAUGUAAGCUGCAGCAGGAGAAGCAGAAAAGAUUAAACGCUAAUCCAAUCAGCAAACUCUUAUGGAAUGCCUUCCCUGUCAAAGGACUGUAGACAUUACAAAGCUGGCAUCGACAUGCGAGAGGGCGACUUCUUGGUUGGAUGGAAGGAAACACAACCAAACGCUCCCCAUGCUCUAUUCAGAGGCUUUGACGUUUAGAUUUGGCGUGCUGGUAGCCUUCGCCAUCAGCCCCAUGAAGGAAGCUGG
Musa acuminata subsp. malaccensis (wild Malaysian banana) is the source of this 657-nucleotide non-coding RNA. Lineage: Eukaryota; Viridiplantae; Streptophyta; Magnoliopsida; Zingiberales; Musaceae. The record is from RefSeq and is a predicted model, not a curated record.